This is a long non-coding RNA of Micropterus dolomieu (smallmouth bass), 247 nucleotides long. RefSeq lists it as uncharacterized. The record is from RefSeq and is a predicted model, not a curated record. Lineage: Eukaryota; Metazoa; Chordata; Actinopteri; Centrarchiformes; Centrarchidae. The transcript has 3 exons.
GUGAUACUGGACAGUGGUCAGACUGAAGGCAAGUUAUUGACUUUUUUGUUUGUGAUAAUCCGUGCUUUAACUUCAUGAUGGCCGAUUCUGAGGGGCAGAAGGAGGAGCCUAGGGAUGUGGUACCAGAAGAAGUUCACAACUCAGACUGUGAGGAGGAGCUGCCAUGUCUGUCAGGUGCUCAGGCCAAUGCAACUGAUCAAAAAAGUUUCAAGUAAGUCAACAUUUAAACAUUUUCAGGACUUUUCCA